Non-coding RNA from Cherax quadricarinatus, 1420 nucleotides. Lineage: Eukaryota; Metazoa; Arthropoda; Malacostraca; Decapoda; Parastacidae. The record is from RefSeq and is a predicted model, not a curated record.
AGGUAGAAAAACUGCGUUCUCUGGUGUCCAGGAUGAGGAUGUUGGCCGCACAACCCAAACUAGAGAAACAGUUGACGUAUCUGCUGGACUUACUGGACAACUAUCCUGCCUUUAGCAUCGGUGGCUUUUACGUCUUGGCUGAGAGCAGACUAGUUGAUGUUGCUAGUUUUGUCGCCACAUACCUAGUGAUUCUGCUACAGUUCCGAGCAGUUGAAGACCCGAGUUCUGAAACAGCAUCUACCUAGAGAGGCAGCUGUUGUUUCCUGCAGAUGAUUACAUCCUCCUUUCAAUACAACUAACUUGUUUAUUGUAGGUACUGUAGUUCCUGGUGAAGGAACGACAAAAUAAGAAGCAUCACAGCAUCUUUUCUGAGAAAGUAACUACUCUGUCAGUAACAAACAGUGUUGCCGAUGGUGAUAAUGGACAAAACAGAUUAAAAUGGAGACAUCAAUUGUUAAGAGAAUGGAUAAAUCUUAUUCAGAUGGAUAUUUAAUUGAAAACAACAAGAAAGGACCUUGUAGAUUAAGACUGAGACGUCCUCUAGAUUAAAGAGGAUGAACCUAAAUUAGCAUUAUGAAUAUGAACAUUGUUCAUAGCUUUAUUACAAAAUUAAAAAAAUUAACAUGCACCAUGUAUUUGUUAACUGCUUCAUUACAUGUGUUUUCUGUUACUGCAAUAUUUCUUUUUACUGGUACUUAAGAAUCAUUUGAUAAUUUGCAGUAAAUCUUGAGUAACAUGAUCCCAGGUUCCAGUGUCUAAGGUAAACCAUUCCAUCAUAUUACUCAAAAUUUACAACUAAUUUUGCCAACUUUUAGAGAGUAGAUUACUGUGAUGACCAUUAGUAUUGUAGGAAAUAAAGAUGCUGGGUGCAGAGAAUUUUUUAAUACAACGUUUCGCCCAAGUCUGGUUUUUAUCGAGUAUACAAGAAUAUGUAAGUACUGUACGGCACCUUAUAGGGCAAACAAGCAAUAAUAAGUCAAGCUUGAUGAAAAACAGAUAACAUCUGUUGAUAUGAAAUUGCGAGAUUAAGUAUAAGUGACAUUGGUAAUGUCAGGUAGACGUGAGAGUAAGAGGUGUGAGUACAGUGACAGAUUUAUUGAUUAUAAUGUAAAUCACGGUCAGUGGGUGCAAUUAGUUUAGUCAACAUGUAUAUUCCGCUGUUUUGCUCAGUGAUAUAGUGAGAUGGAUCACUGGUGCUUCCAAAAAUCUGUCUAGCCCUGUCAUCUUCCUGGUGUAACAGUUGUACUCUCGGUCAGUCCAUGAUGUGAGAAUGACAGUAGUGAUGGACAGCACAUUGCUGGUUUAUCCUUCCUGCUGGAAUAUUUUCCUGUUGGAGUGUCUGAGGGUCUCGUCACGGCCUCCUGAGAGACUAUAGCAUCCCACCAUACGUUAUACUGUAUAAUUCUGUUGUGUGUGUUUA